RNAcentral lists this ribosomal RNA (253 nucleotides) under uncultured bacterium. RNAcentral's name for it is "partial 16S ribosomal RNA". It matches the Rfam family "Bacterial small subunit ribosomal RNA", at positions 524 to 776 of the family's 1533-position model. The record is from RNAcentral.
UACGGAGGGGGCUAGCGUUGUUCGGAAUUACUGGGCGUAAAGCGUGCGUAGACGGUUAUGUAAGUCGGGUGUGAAAGCCCCGGGCUCAACCUGGGAAUGCCAUUCGAGACUGCAUAGCUAGGGUGCGGAAGAGGGAAGCGGAAUUUCCGGUGUAGCGGUGAAAUGCGUAGAUAUCGGAAGGAACACCAGUGGCGAAGGCGGCGAUCUGGACGAUGACUGACGCUGAGACGCGAAAGCGUGGGGAGCAAACAGG